GGCGGUGUAGCUCAGAUGGCUAGAGCAUGCGGUUCAUACCCGCAGUGUCACUGGUUCGAUUCCAGUCACCGCCACCA
This 77-nucleotide transfer RNA is filed under the name Aminobacterium colombiense. Its description in RNAcentral is "tRNA-Met". It matches the Rfam family "tRNA". Rfam says of the family: Transfer RNA (tRNA) molecules are approximately 80 nucleotides in length. Their secondary structure includes four short double-helical elements and three loops (D, anti-codon, and T loops). The record is from RNAcentral. Lineage: Bacteria; Thermotogati; Synergistota; Synergistia; Synergistales; Aminobacteriaceae. RNAcentral also lists the same sequence under 15 other names.